AUGACCACUGUUGGGAGAAUCUGGGCUAGGAAAGUUACAUCGACCGACCCAAUAGAUGUCUUGAAUAUCAAGUUGAAAAGAUUUAAAACCUAUUUCAAAGGGUGGGGCUCGGACAAAUAUGGGCACGAUAAGAGAAGAAAAGAGGAGCUCCGCAUAGAACUGUCUAUGCUGGAGGAACUAGAAGAGGAGGAUAUGUUGCCCCCUGACCUUUACGGUAGGAAAGUUGAUAUUAGUGCUGAGCUUUACGAGAUUUUGGUGAACGAGGAAAUUUUUUGGCUUCAGCAAUCCCACGAGUGCUGGCUCCUCAAAGGGGAUUUAAACACUGACUACUAUCAUAAAAUUGCCAAUGGGCGAAAACGCAAAAACACAAUUCAAUCACUUAGGGUGGGUGAGACAGUGAUUGAGGGCACGGAUAACCUAAUUUCUCACGCUACUGAGUUUUACAAAGAGCUAUUUGGCCCAGCUCCUGGUAACCAACUCCACCUUGAUCCGGAUACCUGGUCGGCUGAGGAGAAACUAAAUGAGAAGGAUAACGCUGACCUUUGCCGUGCUUUCACAGAACAGGAGGUUAGGGAAGCCCUAUUUGAUAUGGCUCCCAAUAGGGCUCCUGGACCUCAUAACAUCCCGGCCGAAUUCUACCAGGUGUGUUGGGAGAUUGUCAAAGAUGACAUUAUGGCCUUGUUUGUCACUUCCACCAGGGGAAACUGGAUGUGCAGCGGCUUAACUACGGGAUUAUUACCCUUCUCCCAAAAACCUCUGGGGCUGGGAAAAUCCAGUAGUACAGGCCCAUUUGUUUGCUGA
This 801-nucleotide ribosomal RNA is filed under the name Triticum aestivum (bread wheat). Its description in RNAcentral is "partial small subunit ribosomal RNA". Lineage: Eukaryota; Viridiplantae; Streptophyta; Magnoliopsida; Poales; Poaceae. The record is from RNAcentral.